This 868-nucleotide ribosomal RNA is filed under the name uncultured archaeon. Its description in RNAcentral is "bacterial SSU rRNA". It matches the Rfam family "Archaeal small subunit ribosomal RNA", at positions 1 to 878 of the family's 1478-position model. The record is from RNAcentral.
CUCCGGUUGAUCCUGCCGGACCCGACUGCUAUCAGAGUGGGACUAAGCCAUGCGAGUCAACAUAGCAAUGUGUGGCAUACGGCUCAGUAACACGUAGUCAACAUGCCCAGGGGACGUGGAUAACCUCGGGAAACUGAGGAUAAACCGCGAUAAGUCACUACUUCUGGAAUGGGUAAUGACUCAAAUCUACAUGGCCCCUGGAUUGGACUGCGGCCGAUCAGGCUGUUGGUGAGGUAAUGGUCCACCAAACCUGUAACCGGUACGGGCUCUGAGAGGAGGAGCCCGGAGAUGGGCACUGAGACAAGGGCCCAGGCCCUAUGGGGCGCAGCAGGCGCGAAACCUCUGCAAUAGGCGAAAGCUUGACAGGGUUACUCUGAGUGAUUUCCGUUAAGGAGAUCUUUUGGCACCUCUAAAAAUGGUGCAGAAUAAGGGGUGGGCAAGUCUGGUGUCAGCCGCCGCGGUAAUACCAGCACCCCGAGUGGUCGGGACGUUUAUUGGGCCUAAAGCAUCCGUAGCCGGUUCUACAAGUCUUCCGUUAAAUCCACCUGCUUAACAGAUGGGCUGCGGAAGAUACUAUAGAGCUAGGAGGCGGGAGAGGCAAGCGGUACUCGAUGGGUAGGGGUAAAAUCCGUUGAUCCAUUGAAGACCACCAGUGGCGAAGGCGGCUUGCCAGAACGCGCUCGACGGUGAGGGAUGAAAGCUGGGGGAGCAAACCGGAUUAGAUACCCGGGUAGUCCCAGCUGUAAACGAUGCAGACUCGGUGAUGAGUUGGCUUAUUGCUAACUCAGUGCCGCAGGGAAGCCGUUAAGUUUGCCGCCUGGGGAGUACGGUCGCAAGACUGAAACUUAAAGGAAUUGGCGGGGGAGCA